Dermacentor andersoni is the source of this 281-nucleotide long non-coding RNA. RefSeq lists it as uncharacterized. Lineage: Eukaryota; Metazoa; Arthropoda; Arachnida; Ixodida; Ixodidae. The record is from RefSeq and is a predicted model, not a curated record.
GGACGCAGAAAGACUAAGUGGAGCAAUACGAAGCUCGGUCUCUGUCUGCCAGAUGUACCGCACAAUGAGUUCCACCAUAAUUUGGCGCCUGGCCGGUUCCACAGCAAAGGUGACGAGUCCUCGGGAGACAGAGACCGGCAUGGCUAUUGAGACCGGCAUGGCUAUUGCAUAUGGGCGGCCAACACCGGCCGGCUCCGAAAGGGACCUGCAUAUGCGAGGUGCAUUCGCCUUGUUUACAGAGAUUAGUUCGGCUUGUUUAACUAAAGCAGCAUUUAUCUCGA